ACAGAUAAAUUACUCUAACAAAUAAUGAAAUAAAUCAUACAGAAUUAAGAAUCAAUUCAAAUACAUGAGAGUUUACAAGGUUACAUCAUUCCCCAACAACAAAUAGAGUUUAGUUCCCCAUAAACAUGGUGGAACCCUAUGAACUAUGGAAGAAAGAAAGAAUGAAAAGACUAAGAAUUUGGCUAAGAGUGUAUUGUUAUGCUUGCUUCUGCCAGGGAUGCAAAACCUAAAGCCCCAGGGUCCUUUAAAUAGUGCCAAAAGUGUUCCAAACUGCGGCCUAGUCCAAAAGAAUCAAAUCAGAGCAGAUACAGGGCCCGAUCCGCGUCAAAUCACGCUCAAGCGUCGCAGGGAGCUCGCCCGGGCGUGAAUCAAUGCUUUUGUAAGGCUUGGGCACCAGUUUUCGGCGCCUGGACUACGAACGUCUAUCGCCUAGGCGUCGAGUCCGUCGUCCGAGUGACCAGUGGUAAUUUCCAGAUCGUUGUUUCGCGUUUCUAUCGCCUGGUCCUCGCUUGGGCUCCGGGUUUUCUCCCUUCUUGAUGCCUUUUUGACCCCUUUUGAGCUCCAUCUUCAUGGCUUUUCACUUCUUCUUCCAUUAUUGCUUCAGUCUCUGUCAAAACAAAGGGAAUUUGUUAGAAAAUAGUUAAAAUCAACCUCAACUCUCUUAUUCACACAAUUUACUGAAAACACAUGAGUUCAAGCAAGUUUCUAAGUCAAAAAGGGUGCUCUUAGUAUCAAAACCAUAUAUCAAAUAACGGUAUUUUAAUCCGUUAUCAAAAAGCAGAUGAAAUUAAGAAUUAAUUUAAAUACAUGAGAGUUUACAAGGUUACAUCAAUCCUCAACAACAAAUAGAAAUUAGUUCCCCAUAGACAUUGGGGAACUCUAUGAACAAUGGAAGAAAAGAAGAGAAUGAAAGACUAAGAAUUGGCUAAGAGUGUAUUGUUAUGCUCUUCUCUUCCAGGGAUGCAAAACCUAGAGCCCCAGGAUCCUUUAAAUAGUGUCAGACGCGUUCCAAAGUGUGGCCCGGUCCAAAAGAAUCAAAACAUAGCAGAAACAAGGCCCAAUCCAGGUGAUGUAUCACCCAAGCGUCGCAGGGAGCUCGCCUGGGCGAGAUUUGAGGUGUAUGUUGGGCUUGGGCAUCAGAUUUGGACGCCCGGGCGACCAACGGUGAUUCUUCUCGCGUAGUUUUCUAGUUCCUGUCGCUCGGGCUUCGCGUUUUCCCUCUUCUUGGUGCCUUUUUGACCCCUUUUUAGCUCCUUCUUCUUGGCUUUUCACUUAUUCUUCCAGUAUUGCUUCAAUCUCUGUCAAAACAAGGGGAAUUUGUUAAAAAGCUUUUGAAAUCAACCUCAACUCUCUUAUUCACACAAUUUAUUGAAAACACAUGAGUCCAAGAGAGUUUCUAAGUGAAAAAGGGUGUUUUUAGUAUCAAAAUCACAUAGCAAAUAACGGUGUUUCGAACCGUCAUCAAAGAUCCUUUACGGUUUCAGAAAAGAUGUGCAGAAAUCUUGGGAAAAGAAGGAAGGAUUUCUUUCCAUCAAGAGAUCCCUCAGCCUUAGAUCCCUUGUUUUAUGAUUUCUAAUUACAACUAUGAAUAAGAAUUUCCCUUUCUAGAAAGAACAGUAGAUCCUACCACCAGGAUCAGCACCAAGCCAAAUAUCUCCCCCUCAGAAUUUGGUCCUAAUGAGAGAUCUAAGCCUUUAACCCAAGCUAAAGAAGUGCUUAAUUGGCAGACAGAAAAUGCUAAAGUUCAAAAAUUUAUGCUCAAAAGAAUUUAUCAAAAGAUAGAUGGACUUUCAUCAGAAAUGAAGAAUAUGGAUGCCCGAUUAGAGCAUCUUUUUGAAAUAAUUAAAGACCACUAUGUCUAUCUUACAGCUAAAAUUUCUCGUAGAAGAAGAAUGGAAAAGGACCACUUUUAGUGAAACCUCUCAGGCCAGAGAAAGAGAAAGCAAGAAGCUGAAAGCACAACUCCAAGAUUUGGACCAUUACAUAGAAUAAAAAAUGAAAGAGAAACAAUUAUCUUUCUCUAAUCCUUUCAGCCCUCCUCCUUUCACCCCAUUUUGGGAUUUUUUUUCCAAUCUUCCUCCUCUAUGAUUCAUAAGUCCAAACAAACCUAUUCAUUACUAAUCGUUACAGCCUUAAGAACCAGACAAAAACUCAGAACCUCAGCACCCUCAACACAAGAACAUAGAAAAACUCCUAACCACACUCAAUAAGAGUCCCCUAGAAAUCUAUCUGUAAAGGAAGACUAUUUCCAAUGUUUUUGGGGAUCUGAACUAUUGAUGGGUUUUCUUCAUGGGGUUAGACAUAACAAAUAGAGUGCCUUCAUUACUUGAGGGUAAGGAUAGGUUAACUGCAUGAUUCUGUAACCAAUAGAUAAUAUGAUGAUGUAUGUAGUGUUUCACAAAGGGCUUCAGCUACUUGCCUAGCUCCCGUGAUCUGAACUUGGACUUUGAGUCUUUGAGGCAAGGUUGAAUCUCUUAGGCUAACAUUGUAGUUGGGAAACAUAGUGAGAACUACACUUCCUGCAUGUAAGGUAGUCAAAAUUGACCUAUGACAGCAUUUUCAUAGUGGAGAAAACUGGAAUCUAAGAGAGAGUAUGGCAGAGACAGAAAGACCUCUUCUUCCAUGAAGGGAAAGAAUAAGUCUAAUGGCUCCAUAAUGAAGGUGAGUGUAACCUUCCUAUUACCAAUGCUUGAUUAAUUCUUUAGGUAUCUCUAUUAUAACAUAUUGUUCUUCAGGUGUAGCUAUAAGAGAACAUUAUUCCAUCCUAAAGGAUUGAACAUACUCUUUUUCAGGAGGUCUUUUGGAGGUUAUGAGUCUGGCUAUAGAUCUAAUGGAAGAUCUUCGUCUUUUGAAAAUAUUGUACGUACUAAGCAGAGGGGUUAAGGACUCAUAAAUCUACGCAUCUUCAGGGACAUAUGAAUAUUCUAUGAGGUUUUCGAUUUUUGAAGAGAGCGUUUGGAGAUAUUGUCUGGUAGAGAUAAGGGGGAGUUUAGGAGAACAGGUUGUAAAUCGAUAGUUGUUUCCAUGGAUUAGAUAUGAGUUUAGAGAAGUCAAGGAAGUAAGUUAGUUAUACUUUAGGCUCUGAUUUGAUUGGAUUUCUUUUUUAAAUAAAUUCCAAUUUUCAAAUUUGGCCUCAUUAAACCAACCUUAUCUAAAUGUCUUUAGAUUUCAGUUUGAACAUUUAAAUCAAAACUACAUUAUACACUUAUCGAUAUAUUUAAUUCUUGUAUUUCAUUUUUUUUUGUCAACAUUUUAGGCUUCUCAUAUCUAUAUUCUUGUCACACUUAGGUUUUCUUAAAAGCUAAAUUUCUCCUACGUAUUGAGAUUUGAAAAGUUAAACUGCGUAUAUAAUUAAUGCACAUCUAUUGGCUUUUCCUCUUAAUGUAUAAAAUUUUAGGGGAUAUUCUAUCGGUAAAUGUAAAUUAUUCAUAUUCGAAAUAUUCAUUCGUAUAGUUAGCACCCCAAUGGAAGAAGGAACAAUGUAAAACGUAACAAUGAAAGAAAGAAAGAAAUAAAACACUAUAGAAGAAGUAGUGCAGUUACUCUUAUUAUUUAUAUAAAGAAAAAUAUUUUUUAAUAAUAUUUUUUAAUAUUUUUUACAUUAAUAAACUAGACGAUUUACUUUUUGAGGAUAAUUUAGUUACUAAAAAAGUAAAUUUUUAUCCUUGUAGAAAAGUAUUGAAAGAUAAAAUAAUAAAUAUAAAAUGUAUAUAAAAGUUUAUUAAGUGUCAAAAUAGUAUGGGGUUAAGUAUGUUUUUAGUCUUUAUACUUUGGGGCGAUUUUGGUUUUAGUCCCUCUUUCAAACUAUGGUACAAUUUAGUCCUUCAACUUUAAAAAACUCUGGUUUUAGUAAUUUUUACCAAAUUUUUUUAACUUUAUUUGCUGUUUCAAACGCGUUUCUCAGUUAACAUUGAAGCAAAAAUGUGUCAAACAGUGUAAACAAUCCAAAUUCUAUAAUGAAACGUGCUUGAAACAACAAAUAAAGUUAAAAAAAAUUUGUGAAAAGGACUAAAACCAGAGUUUUCUAAAGUUGAAAGACUAAAUUAUACCUUAGUUUGAAAGAAGAACUAAAAUCAAAAUUGUUCCAAAAUAUAGAGACUAAAAACAUAUUUAUAGUAUUAUCUUUAAAAGAUAUAGUGACUCACAAAUUUAGGCUUCAAAUACCACCCUUUAAUUAAUUACUCAUGAAGGAUGGAAUGAAAAAAUGAAGUUUAAUUGUCCUUUUAAAUGUAAUCAAAGUUAAAAAGAAAAUUGCUAACAAAAAAUAUGAAUUAGUUGAAUAAGAGAACUGUUCAUUCUGACACAAAAAAACCCAAUGUCUUAUUUCGAAUUUGGAUUUUCCUUUAGACUUUAAAUAUUAUUUUUUAUUACAUCUUCAAAAUAUAUUUAUGUACACUUAUUUUAAUAUUUUAAAAAUAUUAAAAAAUGAAUAUAUAUAUAUAUAUAUAUAUAUAUAUAUAUAUAUAUAUAUAUAUAUAUAUAUAUAUUUGGAAAUUUAACAGAAAAACAAUGAAAAAAAAAUCAAUAAAAAUGGUUCCGAAUGGAUGACCAAAAGAUCAAUAAAAAUAUGGUAAGUUUAUCUCUUUUCCUUUUACACAAAAAUACAUGUACGUAGCAGUAGGUCAUAGGGAUAACAAAAGAUCAGAGUUCAUUUUAUACAGUCACUACUUUUGUCUGACAUCAUAAUCUUCUUCAAUAUCCUGUCUGCUGAAUGUGUCUAAAUCUCCACAUAUCUCUCGAAAUUAAUAUUAUACUUCACUCGGUCCCACUCUUAAGAAACUGAAUAGAAAAAGAAAGAAAAAUAUUUUUUUAAGAAUUAUUUUUUACAAAUCUUUUAAUCACACUUAUGUAGUGGGCUGUAAUUAGGUUAAUAAAUUUAAACGAAUUAAUAAAAUACUAACACAUAAUUUAUUCUCAUAAAAAAUUGCUAUGAAAAAUUGUUAACAUAUUAGAAAAAAUUCGAAAUCAAUCCAAAACAAUAUUCAUCAUCCAUCUCUAGUGCUUUUAAAUUAUUAGGAAAGGAAAAAAAACUUAAGUAUUCAUAGAUAUUGAUACCUUCAAGGAGGCAAAGUUUCGAACGAAUAAAACAUGUGAACUGUUGGACCCUUCAUCACCUAAACUUUGCUUUUUCAGCCACCAAGAAAAGAAUUGAAGGAAAGCAAGGGAAAUGAGAGAGAAGCUGAGCUUGUAAUGUUGAAGAACUGGAAAGGAAAGUAGCAUGUACAGUGGUGAUUCUCUUCCUGAAAAAUAUGUCAUGUAAAAGUAAUCACACACAAAGUUAUAUAUAUAUAUAUAUAUAUAUAUAUAUAUAUAUAUAUAUAUAUAUAUAUAUAUAUAUAUAUAUGAGGGAAAUCGUCACAUUUGAAGUUGAAUUCCACACAUUACAUACCAUGUAAUGUGAUGUGGAUGAGGAGCUGUGAAAGUGGUUAUAUAAGAUGAUUUUGCUGGGAAGUGAAAAAGUACUACUAGGUGGGGCAUCCAGCUAUAAAACUCAUAUGCCACUGUUGCAGAUGUUGGCUGAAUCUUGGGCAGCCUAGUGAGGAAGAGUUAAUACUUACAAAGACCUAGAAGACGAUAUGUUACAUCAGCUACAGUUGUGGCUGCAACUUUUUGUGCCACUGGAUGAAUACUAAGAAAUUGGUCUUGUUGGAGACAGAUAUAUUAUAAUGUUAUAUGUAUUAAUAUCAAUGAUGGAGACAACAGAAAGAAGGAGCUCCCCUUCAGUCCAAGCACAGAGUAAGAGGGAUGCAAAAUAUCUCCUGCUUCAUUCACACAAUUACAGUAGAAAAUGGCUUUAUAUAAACCCCUACUGUGUGUGUAUGAAUGAGUCAGCAGAUACUUGAGAUCCCCUUUAGUCCCUCAUACCCAUACGUGGGCUGAAGGAAGCUCCUUCACUCUCUUUCUCUCCCGCUACUGUACUCUCAUUCACAUCUACAUCAAUGCAUACACGUUUUAUUUCCUUCCCAGGCUUUCAAGGAACAUCUACACUUCACCUUCCUCAUAUUCUUGCUGCCCCACAGAUAAUUCACAAACCAAUAAAACAAUCUAUAGCUACUCAAAAACCAGGCUAAUCAAUUGCCUCUUGUAUCACAAAAACACAUUGUCACACUAUAUACUAUGUGCUUUCCUAUCAGGAAAUUAACAAACCUAUAUGUGUAUGUAUAUAUAUAUAUAUAUAGUGAGGUUAUAAAGGGUUUAGAUGAAUGAUAAAAUGGGCAAUUGUAUAAACAGAUCACUUUAAAGCAUACAUGUUCAGAUUCUCUCACAUGAAUCAAUGAAUAAUAGAUCAGAUGACAAAAUAUACAGUUUGCUCAAGUGGAAACCCUUUGUGCUGAUCUGAACCCAAAUUGACCUAAUGUAAUUGCAAUUAUGUUAGUGAUUAACUGCUUAUUAAUUCACACAAAACUAACAGAAGAAGUAACUGGAAAAGGCAUUUCAGUAGGCCCAAAACAAGGCCAGUUUGAAAUAAAAGAAAACUUAGGAAAAGGAAAAGGUAAAAAGCUGAACUGGCAACAAGGAGUACAAAAUAUGUAUAUAUAUGUAAUCCAUGCAAGUAUAAAAAAUUUGUGAAUUAUGUUGGUUUUAAAAAAUUUGACGAAAGUUUGUAGCAACAUAUAUAAAAGGGUACAUGUAUAUACCAUAUUGAAUCGAAGAGCUAAGAAAAGAGGUGGUAGGCAUAGAGCAGCAAUCAAGUGCAGGUAACCCUAAUCAUGAGAAGUGCAAGAGCAGUGAGAAUCGAAGAGAAUAUAGAAUUGGAAGUGAUCUAGAAAAUUUAGAAGUAGUAGUGUUGAAGUGUGUGUGUGUUAAUUGAAAGGGUUUGGAUGAGAAAUGAGAAGAGAAAGAUGGAAAAAAAACAGAAAGAGGAAUUGAAGGUGAGGAGGUGAAGAGGAAGGUAGAUGAUGGCAGAAACCCUAAAUGAGGUAUGUUUUUUUAUGGAUAUCUGCGCUCAAGUGAGGAAAGAAAAGGAGUGUUAUAAAGAAAUGAAAAGAGUAAAGCGUUUAAAGGAGUUGGUGCAGGCU
Molecule: long non-coding RNA, 7019 nt
Filed under: Vigna radiata
Lineage: Eukaryota; Viridiplantae; Streptophyta; Magnoliopsida; Fabales; Fabaceae
Description: long non-coding RNA (VRAD_LNC016752)
Rfam family: MIR159 microRNA precursor family (bases 5699-5903)
Source: RNAcentral